This 498-nucleotide ribosomal RNA is filed under the name uncultured bacterium. RNAcentral's name for it is "partial 16S ribosomal RNA". It matches the Rfam family "Bacterial small subunit ribosomal RNA", at positions 30 to 523 of the family's 1533-position model. The record is from RNAcentral.
AUUGAACGCUGGCGGCAUGCCUUACACAUGCAAGUCGAACGGUAACAGGUCUUCGGAUGCUGACGAGUGGCGAACGGGUGAGUAAUACAUCGGAACGUGCCCGAUCGUGGGGGAUAACGAAGCGAAAGCUUUGCUAAUACCGCAUAAGAUCUACGGAUGAAAGCAGGGGACCGCAAGGCCUUGCGCGAGCGGAGCGGUCGAUGGCAGAUUAGGUAGUUGGUGGGAUAAAAGCUUACCAAGCCGACGAUCUGUAGCUGGUCUGAGAGGACGACCAGCCACACUGGGACUGAGACACGGCCCAGACUCCUACGGGAGGCAGCAGUGGGGAAUUUUGGACAAUGGGCGAAAGCCUGAUCCAGCCAUGCCGCGUGCAGGAUGAAGGCCUUCGGGUUGUAAACUGCUUUCGUACGGAACGAAAAGACUCUUUCUAAUAAAGAGGGUCCAUGACGGUACCGUAAGAAUAAGCACCGGCUAACUACGUGCCAGCCGCCGCCGCGG